CCUACGGGUGGCAGCAGUCGAGAAUUAUUCACAAUGGGGGAAAGCCUGAUGGUGCGACGCCGCGUGCGGGAAUGAAGGUCUUCGGAUUGUAAACCGCUGUCAUGUGGGAGCAAAUCAAAAAGAUAGUACCACAAGAGGAAGAGACGGCUAACACGGUGCCAGCAGCCGCGGUAAUACAGCGGUCUCAAGCGUUAUUCGGAAUCACUGGGCGUAAGGGGUGCGUAGGCUGUUUCGUAAGUCGUGUGUGAAAGGCCCGGGCUCAACCCGCGGACGGCACAUGAUACUGUGGGACUAGAGUUAUGGUGGGGGAACCGGAAUGCUCGGUGUAGCAGUGAAAUGCUUAGAGAUCG
RNAcentral lists this ribosomal RNA (350 nucleotides) under uncultured bacterium. Its description in RNAcentral is "partial 16S ribosomal RNA". It matches the Rfam family "Bacterial small subunit ribosomal RNA", at positions 338 to 699 of the family's 1533-position model. The record is from RNAcentral.